This is a long non-coding RNA of Piliocolobus tephrosceles (Ugandan red Colobus), 1944 nucleotides long. RefSeq lists it as uncharacterized. NCBI's taxonomy places the organism in Eukaryota, Metazoa, Chordata, Mammalia, Primates, Cercopithecidae. The record is from RefSeq and is a predicted model, not a curated record. The transcript has 2 exons.
CCUGAGUAGCUGCGAUUCCAUGCAGCUGUCACCAUGCUCAGCUAACUUUUGUAUUUUCGGUAGAAACGGAGUUUCACCAUGUUGGCCAGGCUGGUCUCAAACUUCUGAUCUCAGGUGAUCCACUUGUCUUGGCCUCCCAAAGUGCUAGGAUUAUAGGCAUGAGCCACCGCACCCGGCGGACUUAAAAGUAGCAGACAAAAUAAUUUGUUUUAACUCUGUAGCUCACUCUACAAGCUCCUAGAUCUUGUCAAGCCAUAUCCUCCAUCUAAACAUACCUGGCUACAAUGCCCUUCUGUUUCAAAGAGAUGGUCAUUUAAGGUCCUGGAAUCCAAUUUAGGACUUUCAGGGAAAGGUAUUCAAGUACUCGGUAUGCUUCACUGGUUAGGUAGGUAGGCAGGCAGCAAGACAGGCAGGCAGCUCUCAUUUUGAAUAGAACCAAAUGUAUAAGACUUCAUUUCAGUUCAUGAAGUUAUUUCGUAAGAUUUUAAAUUGGCAUAAAAUAUUUGUGAUAGGUCAUGAAAACAUGACUGGUAAUUCACUAUCUGUAUCCCUUCCACAACAAUGCAAAGCCAAAAGCUGGGUAGAAAAGCAAGGGCCAAAAAACUGAAAAGUCCUUCGACUACAAACUAUUUAUUUUUAGUCAGAAAUGGUUUCUCCACUUCAGCAUUAAGGGAAUAUUUAGUUCUUAAAAGGGGGGUAGACUCAUGCUAUUUCAAAACACAAUGAUCUACGGAAAGGUAAACAAUAGCCUUGAAUCAAAGGGUUCAGUAAGAAAGCAACUGCUAGAUACCAUUAGACCUAGGACCUAAAAAUUUAAGUUUAUAAAAAUUGGUGGUAGCACUCUGGCCCCACCAGAGCUCUAAAAGAAAUGUCCUGAAUGUGUAUCAAGCCCAAAUAGGGAUUUGCUGGAGUAGGGGAGGUGAGGCAAGGAGAAAUGCUAUGAAAUCCUGAGUCAGGUAUUCUAGGAUAGAAGACCACAUGGGGGAGCUCUAAGCUUGAAAAAAAAUUAGAACUGACGUCUUUUGGAGGUACUGAUGGUAGCUAGUCCCUUAAACAUGUGGAAUCCUUCCUUGGGGAAUAGCCACUAGAUUAAAAGGCUUUCCAAUCAAGAACUACAUAAACAAAACCAGGUCCCUGGGGGGAGAUGGUAUCAGCACGAUUAAGGUCUAACUACAGGAGAGAGCUUACCAAGGGAGAGAGCUGGACCACAUGAUAAAGGAGCAACUAAAUAAAACUCUUAACUGGACAGGUUUGGCCAUCUAAUCCUUUAUGCAUACUUGGGACGUGUAACACUUCUUCAUAGGCCCAAUCUGGGAUGGAGGGGCCACAACAACAUGAGAAUGAGACAAUAUAUUGGAAUACUAACAGCUUUUUUUUUCUUUUGGUCAGCCAAUGGGGAUGCUGGGAAAAAGUCAUCAGGGGAAGUAUCUCUACACUGAGUUCUCUAAUGCCCUGGGAAGAGCAUUAUACUUUCAGCACUGUGGCAAUGUGUACUCUGGUUGAAUGGAAGGCUAUCAGAGGCCUUAUGCCACUAUAGAUCCCUCACGGUAACCAUUCACCAGAGGAAUCCUGGGAUGAACACCUUGUUAGCCGCUGCUGGCAAGGUAAGGCCAUCUGAGAAGUCAGACAAACUUCCUCAUUAGUGAAGCUUGUUGCCAAUUACAGAGGACCCUCAGGAUCUAAACUGCCACAGGCUUUUAUCUCUUUGUGGGAAUAUUGACAAAGGACUAUAAAAUUCACUUGGGAUUCAAAAAGCCCAUGUCAGUUAUACAGGCUUCCUAGGUGAACAGCCACAGGUCACAAGCCCCCAACCCUUUACCCUUCACAGCACACAGUGUACUAAGGUUCUUACUGCGCCAACUUUAUUAUAGCUAGAAACACAAAUAUGGCCAAGAAGGCGUGCUGAUAGCUUAACCAUUAAAUAAUUAUUAAAAAAAAAAAAAA